RNAcentral lists this ribosomal RNA (678 nucleotides) under Triticum aestivum (bread wheat). RNAcentral describes it as "partial small subunit ribosomal RNA". The record is from RNAcentral. Lineage: Eukaryota; Viridiplantae; Streptophyta; Magnoliopsida; Poales; Poaceae.
GGCGAUGUCCCCGUGCAGGGGCAGGCUGGUCGAGUGGCCGCGGCGGGCCUCCCCUAUUCCCGCGGCAGGGGAGCUGCGCAGCUCGAGAGGGGAGGCGAGUGGCGAGGGGUGAACGGGGGAGGAGCGAGAGAGGCGGAGAGGGUGAGGAGGUCUAGGGGAAGAGGGAGUGGGCUGCAACGGCCGCUGCACGCAGCGAGCUAGUGCGCCGGUGGCCGUGGGGGCUCGCAGCUCCGAAGCAGAUGCUCCACGCGGCGGCAUACGAAGCAGGAGGAGCUGGUUACCUACUUGGACCCCAGCAGACGUAGCGGUCGUAGCUGGGGUAGGGGUUGGUGGCCGGCAGCGGGACGGAGCGGCCUAGAGGAGCUGCCUUUGAGGGGCUGGAGCCGUUCGAGCAGGUGCCGGAGGGGUCCUACCACCUAGGGACCUCAGUCUACGGUGACGGCUGCCUACGAUGAUGCACCUCUGGCGGCUGCUGGUCCUCAUCAAUCCUCCAGGGUCCGUCCUCCGGAACGGAGAAGCUAGCACAACGAAAACACGAUCGGAAGAAUUCCGUAGGAACAGAUUGAAUACAGACAUGAGUCUAUAACAACGAAGGCGACUGAGAACACAUAGCUCGAACAUAAGCUCGGGAGCUCCGGGGACCGAACAUUAUACUUCGAACAUAAUAAAAUUAAACAC